This is a long non-coding RNA of Thunnus maccoyii (southern bluefin tuna), 3785 nucleotides long. RefSeq lists it as uncharacterized. The transcript has 3 exons. The record is from RefSeq and is a predicted model, not a curated record. NCBI's taxonomy places the organism in Eukaryota, Metazoa, Chordata, Actinopteri, Scombriformes, Scombridae.
AAACUGUCAGCUGGCUGCUUGUUAAACUACAACAUCUUAUUUUCUUCUUCUACACAUGUUAAACACAGAGGAUGGACCAUGUGGCUGUGGAGGCGUUUGCAACAAACAGAUUUGUUCUUAAAAUGCAUGUACGAGUGAUUUAAGAACAUUUAUUCAUCAGUUUACAUACUUGUGUUCUUCACAGAGGAGAAACACUCACAAUUACAAUAAUAAAGUCUUAAACUGAAUUCAUUUAGAGCUUAAACAUGAUACCAAAAUCAACAAAAACUACAUAUAUAACUAAAACAAACAAUGCAAAAUGAAUAUUCUGUUUACCAUAUUAUCAUCAUCAUCAUAGCUGCCAGUUUACUGAGACGUUUUGUUAGAUUUUACGGUUUUUAUUGGCAUAUUUUGGUGCAACAGCUUCUCUAAAGUCUCACUGCAUCAGCCGCUUCAGUGUGUCUGCAGCUUUCUGUCCAGCGUCACGUCGUGUUUCAGCUGACGUUGGUGUAACAUCACCUACUGAAGGUACUGUAAUAUUCUCUCCUCUAAUGUCUCAGCGGCUGUCACAUCCUUGACCGCCUCCCGUCACAAAGCACUUUGCUUUCAGAGAGAUGUUUUUUUAUCUAACUUCAUGUCAAAGCUUGUUCCCCUCUUUAUUUCUGUCACAGUGCAGAGCAGGAGACUCAUUUAUAAAACAGUGUGUAGCAUCUAAAUCAAAAAAGUGUACGUGCAUACUAAAGCUGAAAAUGGCGUGCGCCCAAAAAUAAUCAGAUUUAUAAACUGUGGACACACACGAAUGCACAUAUUUUUCCCCCUUUAUAAUUCACAAUCAACUUGAAAAUGUGCUCACAUGGACGACCUUAUAUCUCACCCCCUUUCACUCCCGCAAUAAACCUUAAAUGGUCAAUGCAAAAAGCCGGCUGCAGCAAACAAAACAAUUCAUUAAACCAAACAAAGUGGUCAGACAUGGAGGUCGGUGCCAAGAAGCGCAUUGCUGCACACAGUAAGGAGAUUUCCUGUUUCCCACAGCUGUGGCAGAAGACUCGAUGCAGUAGAUGGCUCAGAAAACUAGGAGGAAAAUGGAGAGCUGGUGGCGUGAUGACAGGACAGAGAUGCUGCAAGGAUGGAAAAAGACAGUUUUAUCCCAGAAAAAUGUCUUUGAAAAUCACCAGUAAAACAUGCUCACUGUGAACUGGUUUGAUGACGUCCAGGCCACAUGAAGGACACUGUGAGUCACGUCGGGAUCAGACAUGAACUGCACUUUAAAGUCUUGUCCGCCGGCAUUUAAACAACCUAAAACUGAGGACAGUUUUGCCCUCAGUGUCCUGGAUGACAACGAGAAUAUGUCGGGAACUCGUCUUGCAGGGACUGAUUCAGGAAGGACGGUGAUGCUGCAGGUUUUUUGGGAUGAGUUUUAACCUCACAGCAGCCGCUGACAAAGUGACUGCUGCUGUCCUGACUGCAAAGUAAAGGUCAGUCCAGUGUGGAGGAGGUGAAAGAGGAAGGAUGGAGGGCUGUUCACCAGAGAAGCCUGAUUUCAAAAAGUCAUUUGUGCAUAUUUUUAUGUACACUAUAUUUGCAGUAUUUCCACAGUGAGAAUAAAUGAUUAUACAUACAAGACAAAAAUAUACAGACAAUAACACCUCCCCCAACUCCCCAAACCUGUCAACAACAUCUACGGCAACACCUCAAAUCAUUACAAAUAACCUGCCCAGUCAGUGCUCUGUGAUAAAAACAGAUGCCGUCCCUGCAAGAUGAGAAAUCACCGUCAUGCAACAAGGAGAGUGAUUAGGUUACAACAACCAAAAGAUAACGAGAGAGAAAAAAACAAGAAAAAGCCAAUUAUCUCUCCAGCAAAUCCCCUUAUUUUCUAUUAAUCAAUUGACCUUCUUUCUUCUAUAUAAUAUUUGGCAGUUAGUCAAUCCUGCCAGCUGGGUAUUUCCAGUCCCUCGUGGCACAUAAUGUACAAAAUAAACUCCAUAUUUGACUAUAUUUCCUUGUGUAUAUUUUUUAUGAAACAAACACCUUUUUUUCACCUUGUGGGAAUCAUGGGAACCACUUCCAGUUUGUAGGCAAUAAAUAAUGUGGGAACAGCCAGUCACACCUUAAAAGGAAAGUUUGAUAUGUUGGGAAAUCGUCUUAUUUUCUUUCUCGUCGAGACUCAAAGGAGUCCAGUGAAACCAGCAGCAGACUGAGAUGUUUGGUUAUUUUUGUUUCUGACUAAAUUGUGCUUUUUUUUUUGUGAAACACUGGAUACUUUUACCUUGGACGUUACCUGUGACUGAGGUGUUUUAAAGGGUCAAAAAGGUCAAACAGGUUAGUAACCACCGGGUUAAACCAUCCGUUCUAACUGGUAUCCAGAAGGCUCAGACUGGUCUCCUCUCAGUGAACUCUGAGGACGUCUGGGAGUUCCCUGUUUGUCUGGGAAAUGUCAGUCCACUCAGCACCACUGCCUAUAUAUAGACACACACACACACACACACACACACACACACACACACACACACACACGUCUUCCUCUGGAUUCCUCGUGUUUUUCAUGUUCUGUCCUGCCCUCUCUCUCCUCCGUCUCCUCCGUCCUCCUCGGCUGCAUGGGGCCGCUCUGCAUCAUUAAUGAGGUCUCACACACACACACACACACACACACACACACAGUGUGUCUCCUCUUACGAUCAAUACGUCCACAAAAAGCCUUUCCUCUGAGUCUCCCUCCUCUCCUUUUUCUUCUCUCUUCACUCUUCCUCUCACACCAUCAGAAGAAAAUCAAGACAGAUUCUAUUUUAUUCUGUUCUGUUAUUUGUAUUAUUAUUAUUUUAACUAUUAAUAACUAUUAUUUUAACUACUGUUGCUGUACUCCGCUCUGCUACUUGUUCUAUUAAAGGAACAGUUCAACAUUUUAGGAAAUAGUCGUGUUUUCUUCCUCUCCCUAACCAUAAGCUAACCAUAACCCUCAGGUUAUGGUUAGCUUAGCUUAGCGUUUAGCUUAGCUUAGCAUCUCCCAAAAACCACAAAAUAUUUUUCUUCAUUUCUGUUUGUGUUCAGACUAAACAAACAAGGUUAAUCAGUGAACUUUACAGGUGUUUGUAGGUGUAUUUUUUAAACUUCUUGUCUCAUUUCUUCUUUUCUCUCUUCUCUUCUCUUUGCUUUUCUCAAAUCAGAUUAUUAAUUAUAGUUAAUUAGCUGGUUUUUAUUCCUCUGUCAUGCCAAAGAUCUGACCCAUUCCACUAUUUUACAAAACCUGCAUCUUCUGGUAACACAAAAACAAAAGAACAUCAGUUAUAAGUAUUUAUAUGCUGGUCGGUCCAUCAACUCCAGAAUGACAUGUGAGUCGAUGUUUUGGGCUCUUGCAGUAAUGACUGAUCCUGUCGUUUAUUCAUAUAACUUAUUAUGUUCAUUAUAAUCUAAGUUAUAUGACCUGUUUUUGUUUUUUUCUGCUCUUUAUGUUUUGUUUUAAUCUCUAUAGUGAUGUAAAGUUUCUGUAUUCACAUUUCAAAUUUAUUCUUCAAUCGAUGUUACUGAACACAGAAACUCAGGACUCUCCUGGGUAAUAUAACCAUCCCACAGGUUUAUAUUAUUAUUACAUAGAUAUAUACAUAUUAUAUUGUUGCCAUGGUGCCAUCGUUAAUGACUUUACUCCAAAGUGACUCAGAACUGAUUCAAUCAGAAGCUAAAGAUUACAGUGUUGAGAAAAACACUGUCCUCCAUUAGCGGUGCAUGUGACCAAAUUUUAAGCUUUUUAAUUGGAUGUUUCUUUGCACUUUGGGAGUCGUAAUUAACUUUGCAGGAACCAGCAGUGCCUGAAA